CUCGUACUUCCUCCGUCCGGAAAUACUUGUCAUCGAAAUAAAUAAAAACGGAUGUAUCUAGAUGUAUUUUAGUUCUAGAUACAUUCCUUUUUGUCAAUUUUAAUGACAAGUAUUUUCGGACGGAGGGAGUAUAUC
Triticum aestivum (bread wheat) is the source of this 135-nucleotide non-coding RNA. Lineage: Eukaryota; Viridiplantae; Streptophyta; Magnoliopsida; Poales; Poaceae. The record is from Rfam.